Molecule: ribosomal RNA, 390 nt
Filed under: Chaenusa trumani
Lineage: Eukaryota; Metazoa; Arthropoda; Insecta; Hymenoptera; Braconidae
Description: partial large subunit ribosomal RNA
Source: RNAcentral
CUCAUUUUGUAUAUAUAUAAGUUAUGAUAUGGGUUACUACUUGUAGUAUUGCCUGUACAUUCUUGUAUAUUUGAAUGCAAUAUGUUGUCGGCGUGCACUUCUCCCCUAGUAGGACGUCGCGACCCGUUGAGUGUCGGUCUACGGCCCAAGUGGUAGCCUUUGAUUUUUAUAAAUUAAAGACCCUUGGUGUUUCCUGGCUGGCUACUCGGCGGUAUUCGUACGGUAUUAAGCCGCAUUUAUGCGUUCAUAUCCGUCGCAAGCGCGAUCAAUUUUUGGUAGUACGGACCUAGUCUCGUCGUCAUAAUUGAUCAGCUGUUGGUUGUACGGUAUUCUAGAACUGGCUUAUAUACCGGUCAGCGAUGCGUUCAGCUUUGGGUACUUUUCAGGACC